RNAcentral lists this ribosomal RNA (497 nucleotides) under uncultured bacterium. Its description in RNAcentral is "partial 16S ribosomal RNA". It matches the Rfam family "Bacterial small subunit ribosomal RNA", at positions 28 to 507 of the family's 1533-position model. The record is from RNAcentral.
GAUGAACGCUGGCGGCGUGCCUAAUACAUGCAAGUCGAGCGAACAGAUGAGGAGCUUGCUCCUCUGACGUUAGCGGCGGACGGGUGAGUAACACGUGGAUAACCUACCUAUAAGACUGGGAUAACUUCGGGAAACCGGAGCUAAUACCGGAUAAUAUAUUGAACCGCAUGGUUCAAUAGUGAAAGACGGUUUUGCUGUCACUUAUAGAUGGAUCCGCGCCGCAUUAGCUAGUUGGUAAGGUAACGGCUUACCAAGGCAACGAUGCGUAGCCGACCUGAGAGGGUGAUAGGCCACACUGGAACGGAGACACGGUCCAGACUCCUACGGGAGGCAGCAGUAGGGAAUCGUCCGCAAUGGGAGAAAGCCUGACGGAGCAACGCCGCGUGAGUGAUGAAGGUCUUCGGAUCGUAAAACUCUGUUAUUAGGGAAGAACAAAUGUGUAAGUAACUAUGCACGUCUUGACGGUACCUAAUCAGAAAGCCACGGCUAACUACGUG